UCAUGUUAUGGUAGUGUUGUCACUACUUUUUAUCCACACACAGUGCUAAUAACUUCAUGGUGUGGAGCAUUUUGCGUAAUAAAGCUCUGAAUCUCAUGAUUUGAUUUUUUUCUCCAGAUGUUACUACAGCAUCUGCCUUGCCUCUCUCAUUCACUUUGUAUUUCUAUAAUGUAUUUUUUUGACAUGUAAUGUUUUUAAAGUGAUUAGAUGAUUUUUAUUGUGACACACUACUGGUAUCUUUGAACAAAGUUACUUGUGCUUUUUUAUUUUUGUUGGUUGAUAAGCAAUAUCUUUGUGUUGCACUGGCUUUUUGCUGACUGGCAUCAGAACAGUUUUUUUGUUUGUAAGUACACUUACUUAUUCUGUAGGCUUUUUCCUGGAUAGCAAUGCCACUUAGAACAUACAAUGAGAACAUGAGUUUGUCUUCGAUUGCAGUAUUAAUUUACCUGUGUUCAAUACCCUUCUCAUUGUACUCCACUUUUCUAUGAGUAUGUGUCUACUUAGUUUUUACAGUAAGUCAUUGAUUAUCAUUCGUAGUGCACCUCUGUACUUUUGGAAGAUGUCAGUCUUUCACUGCUGAGUCUGUUGUUAGACUUCAAUGUCCUUGCAGCACCGUAAUACAGUUCUUGAUUCUAAAUCAUAUCGACAAAUAUUUGCAGUUAAUUACUUUAAAAACACACAAUAGCACAGGCAUUCUUUAUCUCCACCUUUUUUCAAACACUUUGCUCAUCAUAAGCUGGAAUUUAUAUCAGCUUGCGAGAGCUGUGAAUAAGUAUCAGUUUAACUCUGCCAGAUCUUGAAAAAUAAAUCAGUUCAGAUUAGUGCUUUUAUUAAGGCUGUUUCACACCACAGUCACACUGUGUCACAUUACGUAAGGUAACAGAUUUUCCAUAGUUUUAAGUGGAGUAAUUCACACUGACCUCGCAUAGCCUCACAGAUGCCAAACCAUGUGUCAGUGUCUGUGGCCUUGCGCAUGCGCAGUGGUCUGUACCACACUGCCAUGCGCAUGACCACAUCUGUCAUGCAGUUUCCUGCCGAACUCGUUACAAGAAGCUGUAUUGCUACUUUUGUUAUUUGUUAUGGAACAGGUAACUGAAACCAUCAGAACGUGUCCACUGCUGUGGAAUACAGAUUUGGAGGAGUGUAGGGACAGCAAUUUAAAGGACACAGCAUGGGGUGAAAUAGCAGAGCAACUGGGACAAAAUAAGGCAAAUUUGAAAGAGGAAUGGAGGAAAUUACGUGACCGCCACCGCCAAGCUCUCUUCCAGAAGAAGACCAAGUCAGGCCAAUGAGCUACAAAAUGCAAGCCAUGGAAAUAUGAACAACAAAUGGAAUUCCUCGUUACAACAGUGAAACGUGUGACACUAAUAUCCCUCCAAUGGACCAAAGUGUUGUUGGGGUAACAGUCCCUGACUGUGACCGUCCUCUCACUCCAGGAGAUGAAAGCAUUACUGAUAUAGAGGAGAAUGAAGAGACUUGUCCCCUUCCCUCUACUAAUGUGUCAACACCAGGUGAAUCCCGUAACCAUCACCACAGACAUAUGGACAAAUUAAUUAAUUAUUUGCAAGAAAAACAGAGCACCAAAAGACGUGCACCAAAAGCUGAUGACUUGGACUUAUUUUUUGCCAGUACUUGCAAGUAAGACAGGGUUGUAGCCUCUCCCCGAUGUUAUUCAAUCUGUAUAUUGAGCAAGCGGUAAAGGAAACAAAAGAAAAAUUCGGAGUAGGUAUUAAAAUCCAUGGAGAAGAAAUAAAAACUUUGAGAUUCGCCGAUGACAUUGUAAUUCUGUCAGAGACAGCAAAGAACUUGGAAGAGCAGUUGAAUGGAAUGGAUAGUGUCUUGAAAGGAGGAUAUAAGAUGAACAUCAACAAAAGCAAAACGAGGAUAAUGGAAUGUAGUCGAAUAAAGUCGGGUGAUGCUGAGGGAAUUAGAUAGGAAAUGAGACACUUAAAGUAGUAAAGGAGUUUUGCUAUUUGGGGAGCAAAAUAACUGAUGAUGGUCGAAGUAGAGAGGAUAUAAAAUGUAGACUGGCAAUGGCAAGGAAAGCGUUUCUGAAGAAGAGAAAUUUGUUAACAUCGAGUAUAGAUUUAAGUGUCAGGAAGUCAUUUCUGAAAGUAUUUGUAUGGAGUGUAGCCAUGUUUGGAAGUGAAACAUGGACAGUAAACAGUUUGGACAAGAAGAGAAUAGAAGCUUUUGAAAUGUGGUGCUACAGAAGAAUGCUGCAGAUUAGAUGGGUAGAUCACAUAACUAAUGAGGAAGUAUUGAAUAGGAUUGGGGAGAAGAGAAGUUUGUGGCACAACUUGACCAGAAGAAGGGAUCGGCUGGUAGGACAUGUUCUGAGGCAUCAAGGGAUCACCAAUUUAGUAUUGGAGGGCAGCGUGGAGGGUAAAAAUCGUAGGGGGAGACCAAGAGAUGAAUACACUAAGCAGAUUCAGAAGGAUGUAGGUUGCAGUAGGUACUGGGAGAUGAAGAAGCUUGCCCAGGAUAGAGUAGCAUGGAGAGCUGCCUCAAACCAGUCUCAGGACUGAAGACAACAACAACAACAACAACAACAACUUGCAAGUCCAUUCAUUUCCUCCCUCAUUUUUUACAUGAAAAAUAUUUAAAAUUGGCCUUUAUGAUUCCUUUAUACAUCAAGGAAAAUAACAUCUUUUUUGGAAAAUUUAAUGUAAUUGUAUAGAUAAAAUAUCAACACAUCAAAUGGGAGCAGGGGAACACACAUGUACAAGUUAUCACAGGUUGUAAGCUUUUGGAGCCAGUGGCUCCUUCUUGCAGCAGAGGGGUUGAAGGGGAAGGAGGAGAUGUGAAGGAAUAGGAAUGGUGAGGCUUAGAAAAAGGAGUAGAGUUCAGAAUAGUUGCAAAGAACCCUGGGUCAGAGGAGACUUACCAAAUGGGAUGAGAAGGAAAGACUGAGUGAGUGUCUUUGCCGAACUCUGCCCCUUUUCCUAAACUUCACCAGUCUUUUUACUUUCACCACUCUCCCUUCCCUUUGAACCCUUCUGCCAGAAGCAGCAGCCACUGGCUGGCCUUUUUCUGCCUUGGUAAAGGAUUACUUCAAAAGCUAGCAAGUUUUCUUAUUUUCUGUGUGUAGGCCUAUUGAUGACUCAAGCUUUUUCUUUUUUGUGAGUAGUCACCUGUAAUCCAAAAGUAUUUACAUGCUGCCGCAACUUUCCUACAACAUUUUAAAAUACAUUUAAUAAGCCCAGUGGCCAACUUGACCUUCUCUUGCUGAUCAAUUGGCAAAAAUAUUGAAAAUGAAAGGUUUCUACCAUUGCUGGCUCUUGUCUUCCUAUGUGGUCUUUUCAAAACUGAUGCAGAUCAUAUGGGUGACAGAUCCUGAAAUGAUUUCUGAUGGAUAAUUUUACCACCUGGGUCUGCUCCGAGACUUCAUUUCUCCAAGCUUGUGAGCUUCAGAAUAUUAUGAAGUGCCCUACCUCAACUAUGCGGAGGUCCUUUAGCACCACAUAGCUGGACUGAAACGUGCUUAUUAAAAUCAGUUUCUUUCUGUUACUGUAAAAGUGCGAAAGAUGAAUAAUGAGAACCAGGUGAAGAAGAAUAUAUAAUGACACUGUAUCUACACAAUAAUUAAUAUGACAGAUCUUUUCCAGUUUUUUAUUUUGUUUUGUUGAAGAUUACUGUCCCACAAACAGCUAAAGCAUGACUGCUAUGUUAAUGAGUGAUUCUUGUUACAUUAGAGUAUGAAAACAUUCUUCUGCUCUUCAUAGAUUAUCAUCUCUGGAAUAAAAUGAAGUACAUACAAGAAUUUGGAAGCAGAUAUGUGAAAUAUCAAUUUAUUAAGCAGAACAUGGAAGUUUGAAAACUGAAAUACUAAAUUACUUAUAGAAGUGUUCAGAUAUGUAAUUUAUGAUUGUUUCUGCAUGAGUACUGUUCCUAAGAUGUACGUAAUGGAAUGAAAUAGUUUGAGAAAUAGCCGAAGUGCUCUGACUGUAAUUGUUAUUUCUAUAAAGUUCUCUAAGUUGUUAAAUAAUGCACUUUGUGCGAAAUAUUUUCAAUCAUUAGGCAUUUUGCUGUGCAGACCUGUCACAUCAGUAACUUAUACUGAAAUUACAUUGUAUGUAACAUUUCAGCUGUACAAAAUCAGUAUGAUUAAGUAUCAGGCAAUGGAAAAACCUGUAUGGAAUAGUGGCAUUAUGAAAAAGGAUAGUGCUAUUCACCAUAUAGAGUAGAUACUGAGGCACAGCAGGCGCAACAAAUAGACUGCUAAAUGUGAGCUUUCAGUCAAUGGGCCCUCUACCAAAGUACACACACACACACACACACACACACACACACACACGUGCGUGCACACGUUUACUUCAGAAGAAGGCCUUUUACCUGAAAACUCAUGUUUGAGGCAGUCUUUUUAUUGUGCCUGCUUGUGACGCAGCAUCCCCUCUACAUGGUGGGUAGCAGUUCAUGAUUUUCAUGAUAUUGUAUAACAAAUUACACUAUUUAUAUUGCCUAAAAGGUACUAUGCAUGUAAAGGGUUUUGGUUAUUGCCUAUUUCAGUGUUAAUAGUGAUAUCAAAUUCUUCAUACACUAUAUAAUACAGUUCAUAGCAUAUUUCGAAACAGCGAGGGUGUAUCAGCUCUGAAGUGUUUAUGGAAGGUGAAUUUAUACUUCCUGUGCUUUAUGUAACUGCAUAUAUUUUUUCCUUUUGUUUAUACUUUUUAAAAUUAAAUUCUUAGACCAGAAUACAAAUAGCAGAACAGAGGAGGAUCACCAAUGUGUGCUGUAACUAUACAAGUGUAGCAUUAGAAUGUAUAUGUAUAUUUCAAUCUUUUCCCAGAAUAUUAUGAUAAAUGACACAUAUAGCUGAUUUUAACAGAAAAGUUUAGUUAUUAAGUGAGAUGUGGUUUUGAACAAUCAGAAUUGUUAUCCAUCAUAUAGAUGUAAUUUGUUCUCUGUAGACAGGAAUUAAAGAUGUGACACUUGAUAAUUUUACUUUAUUCACUUCCAUUUGUUGUAACUAUUUGAGAGUGCAUAUUGCUGAGUAGUGUGCAUUAAAAAGGCACAUAAUUUGCCAGUAAGUAUCCAUUUAACAUGGGAGAUGUGAAUUCAUCAACAGUUACCUAUGUAACUUUUCACCUUUCCUGUAAUAUUUCUUUCUCUGUCUUACUGGUAUAGUGUAAGCAUCAAGACACUGA
Long non-coding RNA from Schistocerca cancellata (South American locust), 5147 nucleotides. RefSeq lists it as uncharacterized. The transcript is spliced from 3 exons. NCBI's taxonomy places the organism in Eukaryota, Metazoa, Arthropoda, Insecta, Orthoptera, Acrididae. The record is from RefSeq and is a predicted model, not a curated record.